RNAcentral lists this unclassified non-coding RNA (5836 nucleotides) under Mizuhopecten yessoensis (Yesso scallop). Its description in RNAcentral is "synaptic vesicle 2-related protein-like, transcript variant X1". The record is from RNAcentral. Lineage: Eukaryota; Metazoa; Mollusca; Bivalvia; Pectinida; Pectinidae.
AAACUUAGCAGUCGACUUCAUUUCCUGGUUUUAGGCCGGUGGAUCGAUGAGUGUUUGCCAAGAGGAAACCAGGGAUGUCAUCGACAAGGAAUCCUAGAGACCAACUUGUGUCUCCCCCACGUUAGGAGCUCCACACAUGACCAGCAUCAUUUGUCAGUGCCUACACAGAAUCUGGUGAUUGGAUUAUACACCUGACAGGACACCAUGUUUAGUCGCCUGGUGAAGUACACGAAGGGUGACAACUACCAGGACCUAGACGCGAACCAAGGGGAGAGAAUCGAUAUGGACAUCACUGACCCUGCGAUGAGGGAGUUCGCAGGCCUAACCCCUACAGGGAGUAGCAGUGGCGAGUUUUCCCAUGUUGGAGAUGGGGGUGUUCUAGACAUGCACCAGCGGAGGGGCACUGGUUCCACAAUAGAACCAUCAGAAGAAACCUACACUAUACAGCAAGCUAUAGACAACAUUGGAUUUGGGAAGUUCCAGAUCAAACUUUCCAUCCUCACAGGAUUUGCAUGGAUGGCAGAUGCCAUGGAGAUGAUGAUACUGGCCAUUUUGUCUCCCGCCCUACACUGUGAAUGGCAGCUAGAGAGCUGGCAGCAGGCUCUCAUCACCACGAUUGUAUUCUGUGGGAUGUUCUGUAGUUCAAGUUUCUGGGGCAGUGUGUGUGACAAAUACGGACGCAGAUCAGAGCUGAUUCUGUGCUCUGUGUUUACCUGUUACUUCGGUAUCCUCAGCGCAUUCUCACCCACCUUUAUAUGGAUGUUGAUCUUAAGAGGACUUGUUGGCUUCGGUAUAGGAGGUGCUCCACAGUCUGUAACCCUGUAUGCAGAGUUCCUGCCGUCCUCUUCCAGAGCGAGAUGUGUUGUGCUGGUCGAGAUAUUCUGGGCUAUUGGUGCUUGUUUUGAGGUGCUACUUGCGCUGGUGGUCAUGCCAACAUUGGGCUGGAAAUGGCUGCUCGGACUGUCUGCUAUGCCACUAUUGCUGUUUUCGCUGUGCUGCUUUUGGUUGCCAGAAAGUGCGAGGUAUGACAUGUGCAGAGGACAAGCUGAUAAAGCGAUAGCUACACUAGAGAGGAUCGCUAAGGAGAACGGGAAGCCAAUGCCGCUGGGCAAACUCGUAGAGCCGUCCACGAAGGCUACAAACAGAGGCAGUAUAAAAGAUCUUUUUCUCCCGGAGUUAAGAAAAACAACCUUACUUUUAUGGGUUAUUUGGUUUGUGUCAGCAUUCUCCUACUACGGUAUUGUACUGAUGACAACAGAACUGUUUCAAAUCUCGGACGGUUGUCACGGUUCAGAAACUGGGUCUGAAAUCAAAGCCAAAGCACCAUGCUUCCUCAAGUGUAAUGGACUCGAUACCGGGGACUACAUAGAUCUCACCUGGACCACCUUUGCCGAGUUUCCAGGUCUAUUUGUCACCGUGAUUGUUAUAGAGAAGUUUGGGAGAAAGUUUACGAUGGCAAUGGAGUUCUUUGUCUUCACCGUUUUUGUUCUAUUUUCCAAUAUAUGUACAUCAAGACCGGUAUUGACAUUCUUCCUGUUUGUAGCCAGAGCUUUUAUAUCUGGAGCUUUCCAGGCAGCUUAUGUAUACACACCUGAGGUAUAUCCCACCUCUAUGAGAGCUAUAGGACUUGGUUGCUGUAGUGCUAUGGCCAGAGUUGGGGCUAUCAUCACACCUUUUGUAGCACAGGUGUUGCUGAGGUCAUCAUCAUACACAGCCAUCUCAACGUACGGUGUGAUAGCCCUGGUGGCCACCGGCGUUUGUUUAUUGUUACCUAUAGAAACCAAGGGGCGGGAGAUGAAGGACACCACCCAUGAGGUUCACGACGCUCCUGCCAGAUGAGGGAUGUUGUGUGUAUAUAUAUAACAAUUCUACACAAAACAUCUGCCCUCCCUUCUCAUCAUACUGCCUUCAUGUCAGAGCUGUAGAUGUCUAGAUGUCCCGUGAAAGGUACAACCUUUUUUCUGGAUGUCACGUGACGUGUACAGCCUUUUGACAGGAUGUCCUGUGAAGUACACAGCCUUUGUACCUGUACAUUCAGUAUAGAAGGUCGGGAUGGCCGUAGUCCAAUGUUGAUGAUGGCAGUUCAGCUUAUACGACACAACAACUUCUCAAAUAAGAAUCUCACAUGAUUUUAUUUUUGUUCUGUGAUUAUUUGUGAAUAUUGCCUCAGAGAUUGAAUAGAAAACCGUUUAUGAAUGGCUUAUUAUAAUGUAUGUGUAUCUUAUGAUUGUGCUGUUAAUGAUUAGAAUGUACAAAUAGGAUGGCUUAGGACAGGUUUCUUUUCUACCAGGACAAAUCAUUAAAUCUGCUGAUACCAAUCUCUGUUCAGAAAUGUUGACAAAAUAACAGUCCUUCACCAUGUUUUGUUGAGUCUCAUGACUGAUUUCUUUUGUACAAGCAAAGAAAAUGCAACUUUGUGUAGAUAGAGGGUUCCUUUUGCUUCCAAACACAUUUUGUACAUCUUAAUCAAUGAUCAUGGAUUUUUAUUUUUUUGUGGAAAUAAGCAUUCCGCUAUAUUUUCUUUAAUUAUACCUUUCCAAGUAGGUGUCUAAACAAUUCAGGAUAACCUAUCAAGAUUCAAACGGAAUAAUUUCCAUUUGGAAUUAAAUCACAAACCUUACUUCUUCAAUCUUAACAUUUUGACAUGGUAUACAUAUCUAGAGCAUUCACAAUAUAAAGUGGGGACAGACUACGAUAUGGCAGGUCGUGUACAACUCUUCCUGAAAGCGUCAAUAUCUUUUAAUGAAAAUUCAACUUAAUCAUAAUACUUGUAGUUUAGUAUGACAAAGAAAAUUAUUAGAGGCAAUAUCCUAAGAGUUAAAAGGGGAGAUAGUCCCUUUUAUAUUUUGUUUAUUAGUAUGGUUAUUGUUUUUGUCACUGUUGACAGGAAGUACUGGAAAUAACAUGAAGUGUUUUAUUCACAAUUUUACAUGUAAAUCAAUAUGUAGUAUACAAUGUACAGGGUGUGUAGCGUCAUAGGAUGAUAGAGUGUGUAUGUUACUGUGCUAGAGUGUGUAGGUUACUGUGCUAGAGUGUGUAUGUUACUGUGCUAGAGUGUGUAGGUUACUGUGCUAGAGUGUGUAAGUUACUGUGCUAGAGUGUGUAGGUUACUGUGCUAGAGUGUGUAGGUUACUGUGCUAGAGUGUGUAGGUUACUGUGCUAGAGUGUGUAGGUUACUGUGCUAGAGUGUGUAUGUUACUGUGCUAGAGUGUGUAGGUUACUGUGCUAGAGUGUGUAUGUUACUGUGCUAGAGUGUGUAGGUUACUGUGCUAGAGUGUGUAUGUUACUGUGCUAGAGUGUGUAUGUUACUGUGCUAGAGUGUGUAUGUUACUGUGCUAGAGUGUGUAUGUUACUGUGCUAGAGUGAGUAUGUUACUGUGCUAGAGUGUGUAUGUUACUGUGCUAGAGUGUGUAUGUUACUGUGCUAGAGUGUGUAUGUUACUGUGCUAGAGUGAGUAUGUUACUGUGCUAGAGUGUGUAUGUUACUGUGCUACAGUGUGUAGGUUACUGUGCUAGAGUGAGUAUGUUACUGUGCUAGAGUGAGUAUGUUACUGUGCUAGAGUGUGUAUGUUACUGUGCUAGAGUGAGUAUGUUACUGUGCUAGAGUGUGUAUGUUACUGUGCUAGAGUGAGUAUGUUACUGUGCUAGAGUGUGUAUGUUACUGUGCUAGAGUGAGUAUGUUACUGUGCUAGAGUGUGUAUGUUACUGUGCUAGAGUGAGUAUGUUACUGUGCUAGAGUGUGUAUGUUACUGUGCUAGAGUGAGUAUGUUACUGUGCUAGAGUGAGUAUGUUACUGUGUGAGAGUGUGUAGGUUACUGUGCUAGAGUGUGUAUGUUACUGUGCUAGAGUGUGUAGGUUACUGUGCUAGAGUGUGUAUGUUACUGUGCUAGAGUGUGUAUGUUACUGUGCUCAUUAUGUGCUGUGAUUUCAUAGAUAGAAAUAUGGUCAACUUAUAUUAUAUGGUCUUUAUUUAUCAUACUGACAUGUUUUUCUCAUUUCAUUGGUGGAGGUAUCUCGAGAGUAAUUCAGUGUACCUCAUAUCUAAACUCCAUCACAAGUUUACAUAUUUGUUUUAUUUGCUGCAAUACAAUUCCAUAUACAAAAUUUAUAAUUGAACACAUUUAUAAGUUUAUAUGUGUAUUUCUCUUUUUCCCAUGAAAAAUCCUUAUUGGGUUUUAUUUAUGUUUCAAAUAUCUGGUAUAACUGUGGUAUUCUUUAUCGUUCAUAUUGUAUUGUUUGAAAAUAUCUUUUACAUGUAUAUGCCUUUGUUCUUUUUAUGAAUACAUGUCUACUUGUGAGAUUAAGAAUCUUCAAAAUAACCUCAUCUACUUCUUUGACCAAGAAUGUUCAUGGUAUUUGAAUUAUAUAUUUAGGUACUAUCUUUGGUGUGCCAUUACCGGUAUCAUUACAACAUGUUUUUGUCCUCUUGACAGAGAUUAUAACAGGGUUAGGGAGGAUUAAAACAAUUCUUGUACCAGUAUAUUGUUUGACAAUUAUUUGCUGAUAAAUUAUUUGUUAAAAAAAUCUUUAUACUGUGUGAAGUUACUGUGGACAAACAUAUCAGUGGCGAUAAUAUUUUAGCAAUUUCAUUCCAUUUAACAGUGCAACACUAUGAUAACUGUUAAAUAUAAAAUCAUAAAAUUGAUGCAUGGUAUAAAUAUUUAUCAAACUUAUUUAUAUAACUUCAAAAUUUUACUUGAACUGUGAAAAAUCUGGGUGCACCAAUAGAAAUUAUAUUUACAAUAAUUUGUUCCUGUCCUUGGACAUUUUAGUUGAACCGAGAAAAUCUGAGUGUAGCAUAGAAAUAUGUUUACAAUAUAUUGUUAUUGUCUAUGGUACCUUGUUGAUGUGUAGUUAUAUUUAAAUCUGUUGUAAAUUAAGUAAACCAUAACAUAAAUGGCUGUUGGUAAUAACAUGAAGAGAUGUUUUUAUUUCAAACAAAUUAUCAAUAUAUUAUUUUAUUGUACAAUAGAUCAUGUGUAUAUUUGUUUAAACAAUUAAUUUAUUGACCAUGUUGUAUAGAAUGUACCAUAUUUUGGAGUAGAAUCUCAAUAUAUGUAUAUGAAUAAAUAUUUGAAUCAUGAACUAAUACAUAAAUUGCAAUAUUAAUCUACAGACUACAUUAUUUUGUAGCUGUAUCUGAGAUAUUGAGAAAGCUUCAUCAGGUACUAUUUUAGGGAAUUAAGAUUUAAAAAUUCAAAAUAUGAGGUUUACCAUAAUAUCAAUUUUUAUAUUUUGUGAAUUAUCUUUGUUUCAGGGUCGUUGUUUUUGUCCGAGUUAUAUAACAGUGUUUAGGGUAUUACAUAUAUACAAAUCAAACAAGAGAUAAAUGUGCAAUGUUGUGUGCGAUAUCGGCGGCGAACGAAUUUGAUCUCAUUUGAAGCAGUCAAAAUAGAAAUGGCAAUUUUGUCUCUUGGACAAAAUAUUGUUUUGUUUCUUUUUUUGAAUCAUUACACGGCUGUUUGUACACGAGGUUGGGGUUGUAAUUUACCUUGUAUACUUGGUUGAUGGUGUAAAUUUCGAUGUACACUAGGUUUGUGGCAUUCAUUUUCAUCUUUUUUAGUAAAUUAAGUAUGUGAUAUGAGGGUUGGUUUGUUUCUAUUUAUGUAGACAUCAGUACAUGUACUGCUUUAUUUUGGCGAGAUAUCAUUUUUUGUGUUUACUCACAAAUUUAGAUACCACAUAAUUAUAUAACCAUGGCGAUCCCAUCGAGUCUGUCAAGUUUAUUGCAUACUCUAGUGUAUUACUAGUGAUUAAAACUUAUUUAACUCAUUCACCCCUGAAAUUUCAUAAUGAACCAUUUCACCCUUUGAAUUGGAAGAGUUCAAAUGUGUCUU